GACGAACGCUGGCGGCGUGCUUAACACAUGCAAGUCGAACGGAAAGGCCCUGCUUUUGUGGGGUGCUCGAGUGGCGAACGGGUGAGUAACACGUGAGUAACCUGCCCUUGACUUUGGGAUAACUUCAGGAAACUGGGGCUAAUACCGGAUAGGAGCUCCUGCUGCAUGGUGGGGGUUGGAAAGUUUCGGCGGUUGGGGAUGGACUCGCGGCUUAUCAGCUUGUUGGUGGGGUAGUGGCUUACCAGGGCUUGGACGGGUAGCCGGCCUGAGAGGGUGACCGGCCACAUUGGGACUGAGAUACGGCCCAGACUCCUACGGGAGGCAGCAGUGGGGAAUAUUGCACAAUGGGCGGAAGCCUGAUGCAGCAACGCCGCGUGCGGGAUGACGGCCUUCGGGUUGUAAACCGCUUUCGCCUGUGACGAAGCGUGAGUGACGGUAAUGGGUAAAGAAGCACCGGCUAACUACGUG
This 468-nucleotide ribosomal RNA is filed under the name uncultured bacterium. RNAcentral describes it as "partial 16S ribosomal RNA". It matches the Rfam family "Bacterial small subunit ribosomal RNA", at positions 28 to 507 of the family's 1533-position model. The record is from RNAcentral.